AUACGGAGGAUCCGAGCGUUAUCCGGAUUUAUUAGGUUUAAAGGGAGCGUAGGUGGAUUGUUAAGUCAGUUGUGAAAGUUUGCGGCUCAACCGUAAAAUUGCAGUUGAAACUGGCAGUCUUGAGUACAGUAGAGGUGGGCGGAAUUCGUGGUGUAGCGGUGAAAUGCUUAGAUAUCACGAAGAACUCCGAUUGCGAAGGCAGCUCACUAGACUGCAACUGACACUGAUGCUCGAAAGUGUGGGUAUCAAACAGGAUUAGAUACCCUGGUAGUCCACACAGUAAACGAUGAAUACUCGCUGUUUGCGAUAUACAGUAAGCGGCCAAGCGAAAGCAUUAAGUAUUCCACCUGGGGAGUACGCCGGCAACGGUGAAACUUAAAGGAAUUGACGGG
RNAcentral lists this ribosomal RNA (392 nucleotides) under uncultured bacterium. RNAcentral describes it as "partial 16S ribosomal RNA". It matches the Rfam family "Bacterial small subunit ribosomal RNA", at positions 523 to 917 of the family's 1533-position model. The record is from RNAcentral.